RNAcentral lists this long non-coding RNA (24440 nucleotides) under Homo sapiens (human). Its description in RNAcentral is "non-protein coding DLX6-AS1:37". The record is from RNAcentral. Lineage: Eukaryota; Metazoa; Chordata; Mammalia; Primates; Hominidae.
AGUCGGGAGGCGGGAGAAGCGAGCUGCCCCAGCGGCCUCUCACCUGUGUCGUCCCCUCGCGUCUGGGCGGCUGCGCUGCUGUUGUGGUAGGACUGGAGACAGAGUCUUGCUCUAUUGCCCAGGCUGCAACUGGUGUGAUCUCGGCUCACUACAACCUCUGCCUCCUGGGUUCAAGCGAUUCUCCUGCCUCAAGCUCCCAAGUAGCUGGGAUUACAAGCAUGCACCACCAUGCCUGGCUAAUUUUUGUAUUUUUAGUGGAGACGGGGUUUCGCCACAUUGGCCAGGGUGGUCUUGAACUCCUGACCUCAAGUGAUCCACCUGCCUUGGCCUCCCAAAGUGCUGGGAUUAUAAGCAUGAGCCACUGCACCCAGCCUUAUACUGAACUUUCAAUGGGUUCAAUUCCACUAGGAGCAUAAAGGCCACUGCAUAUGAGUUGUGGAAAGAAGAGAUUAGAAGAAGGAAGAACUUGAGAUGAGUUCCUCCCUUCAACAUUCUGUCUCCUCCUACCUAGCAUCUUCUUUCUUUUAGUCUUUCUAGAAUGUCCAUCUGUUUUUGGCCAUUGCGGAGAGAGAAGCUGAGCUUUAAAGGAGUAGGAGCUUCAAAGGCGUAGGAGCUUCAAAAUUCUUGUUUCUUCAUGUUUGAUCACCCUUCUAAACCUGUCUUCUGUUCCUUCUGCUAUUCUUUUUUCUUAGAGCAUAGGAAAGGGGAGCUUUUAAAUUAAUACUUAAAGCAUGGAAAAAAAGAACUUGAGAAGAAAGUAAAACAAGGGAGAUGAGGCUAGUAAAGUAAGGAAAAUGAAGAGGAAGAGGAGGAAGGGUUAGCUUCUAAAUUCCAAGUCAAAUUGAUAUGGAACAGGCAAGCCGCUUGUCUUACUUAAACUUCAGAAAAGGAUCUGCUGAAACUUGAUAGAAAUGGAAAGGGAAAUCCUUGGGGUGGGGAACCUCCAAACAUUAGUAAUGAUAUUGAACAACUCAAAGUAUUGAGGAAAUCUGCAGGCUACAUGCCUGAAGAUUACCCAUGCAGAUAGACCAAAAGGAUUAGAAUUAUCUGUUGAUAUUAGUAAUAUUUAUUGACAUCUAGCUAGUAUUGGUAAUUUUAAGUUUUAGAUUAAUUUCUUUGGUAAUAGCUAUGAUAUAUUUUAUAGACAAGAAUUAUAUCUAUAGGCUUGCUAUCAUAGGCUCUUUUAAUCAGCAUUAAUUUAGUCUACUGAUUUUUAGCACAUUUGAAUCAUUCACUUAUGCUAGGUAACUCAUUGCAAAAUAAAAAGAUGAUUCCUGUAUGUAUGGCAGCUAUACAUUAAGGAGGAGUCUACCAGAAUAUGAAAAAGUCAGCUGACCUAAAUAGUAAGUGUUACAGGAGCAAAUAUCUUCCUUUAUAGGAUUAUAUCAUUUAUGUGAAUUUGUAUAAUAAAUUUUCUAAAUACUGUUGUGGUGGCAAAAGACUCAGCUUUCAAAGAAUUUCAGGUGUUUCAUGUCUCCAGCAGAGGGGCAGCCACCCACAGCUGGGGGGUGGCCAUAGUCAUCUCCAUGCCUCCAGUGCUAGCCCAGUGCUGGGCACAUACAGGCUCCAGUGUUUCUCAAGUCAAACCAAACUGUGGUGGAAAAUAGUGAGGGGGAAAUUGUGAGGAAGGAUUAUUUAUUUGUUUGUUUGUUUUAGCAUCCUUAUUACCUUGGUGGUAAUCUGGUUUAGAAACCUACUCUGUUUUUUCUUCUUGAGACUAAGUGCCUAGAAUAUUUUAGUUAAAAAAAUUUUUUUGGCACCAUUUUUUGAGCAGUUAUUACAUGUCAGGCCCCUAAAUAUACUGGGUGCUCUGGACUCUUCACAGGUGAGAUCAUUUAAUGCUCACACAGCCCAGUGAUGUGGGAAUCUUGACUCUGUUGUACACAGUGCAUCACUCCACUGCCAGGGCUCAAUACAUCAUAAACAAUAGCAGCAACAGCUGUGAGAGGAAUCCAAGGACAAAUUUGUUAGAAUAAAGCAAAACAGGGCUUUACCAUAUGGGAGAUAUAUCUAAGAUGGGUUUAUUAGAUGUAGGAUGAUUUUUCUUGUAACCUAAGGGCUUUCUGGAGGGAACCUGAAAUCUUUUCACUAUGCCCACAUCAUUGCCAGAUGUGGAUACAGUGAAAUUGACCUUAUCCUGUGUGUGUAUCUCUGUGUGUAUGCAUGCAUAUGUGUGUGUGUGUGUGUGUGUGAAAGUGGCAAAUUCUGGUUCAUAUACUGAGUUUCAAUUUAUCUUACAUUCACUUUCUUAUGCAAAAAUUUCUUCAUGAACCAUGUAAAUAUGCAGUAGACCCCUGCCCCCCACCACCUUCCAUAUGUGAAUAAAUUCACGUUCACCAACAUGUAAAACCAAUGGCAGUAAAAUAAUGAUAAAACAUGGUUAUUUCAUAAGGGAUCUGGUUGGUCUUGUAUUCUGAUAGUAGGAUAUAAUGGAGUCCUCUACAAAACUUUAAAAAUUUAUAAUGAUUAUUGACACCAUUAAUCAGAAUUUGCCAUGUGAACAAUUCAGGGAUCUGUUGUAUUAAGCUGUCAUGUGGUUGCAAUCAUACCUUUUAACUGCCAUCAGAGGUAACUGUCAGCAACACCAUAUCUUCCCUCCAGUCUAUUACAGCUUCAGUUCCCCAGGGCUCCAUCCUGAGUCCAGGGCGAUUUGUAUGGUACACUAAUGACCUGCUGAUUGUCUGCACAAAAACGAAAUCAUACACUGUUCAGGCAACACAGUGAUUCCACACAAAAGCAAAGGACUGUCUGGUGUCAAAAUAAUACCAUACUCUUACUUUGAUAAAGGUUUUUUAAACUGACUACAAGGUACUAUUUGGUGGUAAAGUGUAGCAGAAAUGUUUAUUUAAAUAACAAGUUGGCAGCAGGUAAAUUUCAGGAGUGUGUGUAUGUGUGAAAAGGUUGCUAUUUAGGUAGCUAUUUUUGUUCUGAUAUUUGGUUUUAAUUUUGAAAGAUAUAGCAACUAUUCAGAUAUUUCAGUAGGGUAUUUAUUUGUGUUGGUGAUUAUUAACAUACAUUUUAAAUACCAUGUGAAAUUAAGGUUUUCUUAAUAAGUUUUGAAAACAUGUGAUGAGCACUAUAUUGAUGUAUCUACCUGUUUUUCCAUUGAUUUAUCGCUAUGGUGUGUCUCAAUAAGCAGAUUUGAGUUUGUAGGGGUCAGAUGAAGCCAUGUCACUGCUCUAUGUGUGUGUGCCUGCCCCAUAGUGUCUCCCUUCUGAACCUAAAGUCACAGGAGGAACCUGAGCUGGCACUGGAAAACCAUCCAAAAUCCUACCCUGGCCCUCUUUUGUCCUGCUCCCGUACUCCUGUGGCUCUGCAGUGUGUGUGUGUGUCUCUGUGUGUGUUUAUAUCGAAUGGGCUGAUUUUCCCUAGAGUAUUUGUUGCUGAGUCAUUUAUCUGUUGAAUGAUGGAGAAUAAUUCCUGCUGAGACUCUGACCCAGAUCCCAAAGCUUUAUUCCAAGACUUGGCUUGUUUGCUUGUUCAUUUGUCUAUUCUUUCAUUCAUUCAGUUGAUUAUUUUAAACCUGUUUUUAUAUACCAGCCACUAUGCUGGGCACUGGGAUGAUAAUGAUGAAGAAGAUUCAGUCUCGAAUCUCAAGCCCCUUGUAGUCUUGUUGGAGCUAGUGAUCAGUCAGUUGGCAGUUACCCAAUGCUUAACAGACUGUCAAGGAUCCCUUGUCAACUAAAUUCUAAAAAGGUUUAAAGAGAAUGUGAAUUGUAACACACUGGAAUAUGAAGGCUACUCCACUAGACUGCAAGCUUGUUUAGGGCAAGAACUGAGUCUUGUCCCUAGAAUUACUCAUAGCUCUGAGCACAGGAAGUGCAUAGAGUAUAUGCUCUGUUAAAUGUAGAUUAUUAUUAUUAUUAUUAUUAUUAUUUUUGAGACAGAGUCUUGCUGUUUCACCUGGCUGGAGUGCAGUGGCAUGAUCUCUGCUCAGUGCCACCUCUGCCUCCUAGGUUAAAGUGAUUCUCAUGCCUCAGCCUUCCGAGUAGCUGGGAUUACAGGUGUACACCACCAUGCCCGGCUAAUUUUUGUAUGUUUAGUAGAUACAAGGUUUUGCUAUGUUAGCCAGGCUGGUCUCGAACUCCUGGCUUCAAGUUAUCUGCCCGCCUUGGCCUCCCAAAGUGCUGGCAUUACAGGUGUGAGCCAGAGGAGGCCCAGCCUAAAUGUUGAAUUUUUCGAGAUGCCUAAGAAAAGAAUCUUCAGCUAUAGACAGUAAAUUGCAGACAUUAAAAGUAGAGGCUUUGGUGUUAGUUAUGCCCUUUGCCUCUACCCAUAGUUUAACUUAGUAACCAGUGACAGCCCCACUGCAUCCAAUUUAUUAAUCCAUUUCAAAAGAUAUGUGUUUAACACCUAUGAUAUGUCAGGGCACUACUAGGUGGGUGUGAAUGUGAACAAGAUAGAAACAGGAUCUUUCCUCAUGUAGUUCCCAGUUAGGAGGUGUGGGGACCUCAGAACUGGUGGAGAGGAUUUCAAUAAAGUGUGUUAAAUUUUAUGAGAGAAGAGAAGCUGUUGCAUUGACUGACUGAGGGGAGAGUUUAGGAGGUCAGGAAGAGUGCUUCAGGCAAAAGAGACAAAGUGUGCAAAGACCUGGAGGUGAGAAUGAGCAGGGUGCAUUCCGGGGACUUUAAUAUAUUAAGAGUCAUUGCAUUGUCAGCUGCAAUGAGAGGAGCUUGUGAUAAGGCUGGGAAGGUGAGUAGGGACAGAUCCUGAAGGGCCUUGUAGGGAAUGCUAAGUGGUUUGGACUCCAUCUUAAGAUCAAAAGGAAUUUUUUGACUGGAUUUGAGCAGGGAAGCACCAUGAUGAAAUUCGCAUUUUAGAAAGAUUACUUGAGUUACAUAGUGAAAGGAGAAUUGUAAAGGGUGAAAUAUCAGUUAGGAAGGCUUUUGCAGUAAUCUGAUUGGAAGAUGGUCCAUAGUCCAACAGUGUGGUAUAGUAGAAAAAUGCAUAAGUUUGAGACUCCAACAAGCCUUGCCUCUAAAACUUAUUAUCUAAGUGACUUUUAGCAAAUAACCAACUUUACAUAGCCUCUACAUUUUUUUUUCUGCAAAACAGAGUAACUUUGCAUAUCUAAUGUGAGGCUUAGAUGGAAUACUGUAUGUAAGAUACCAGACAUAACAUGACAUACUUCUAAAUGACAGCCCUUUCACAUUGUUGUCAAUGAUGUUACCUCCUCCUACCUCCUUAUAUUUCUUCCCUUUUAGUGUACAACUUAAUGCUUUUCAAUAUGAUAUUUUGUUGCCAUUAUUGUUGGUCCUCUAUCUCUGCACUGUGUGUGGCAGAGGCUUUUCCUUUUUGCUUCAGUCUUCUUGACUAUUGCAGCUCUCCCAGAAUGCUCUGAGCCAUCACAAGGUUACUUCUGGAAAAGUCCAUUCUGUUGAACGCUUUAUUCUGAUUUGGAUGAUGUUACAAGCAAUGAAACCAAGCCUGGUGAGGGCUAAAAUCCUUGCUCCCUUCCCUUCAGGGACUUGCUGGUAACUGCUUUCUCCUCCUCAUGCCCUCGGAAUGCAGCUUUGGUGUUAUCUUUGGCACUCCUCAGGGCUGCUUCUUAAGCACUUGUGGAGAGAGAACUUUGUAUAUUUUACAGAUUAGACCUUAUUUUCACUCUGAGAAUAUUCCAGAAUCCUGUCAUAUUUUCCUUUCUGACAUCUCUAAGACUCAUCUUUGCCUGUGAGUUUCCAAUCACUAAAAUCCUUUCCCAUAUUUUGGUCUUCUUUUCCUUCUACUCCUUAUAAAUGCCUCCAUUGUGGUCUCUAUUCUUGAGUUCAGUCUCUGUUAAAGCAAUCUUCUUGGUGCCUUCAUUACAACAUCUUUUUAAAAUGCCUUCACUGGUUUCUCUCAUCUGCAUUAAAUCUGGACAUUAGGGACCUUCACUGUUCUUCAUUGGUUGAUUGUUUUUUUCCCUGCCGGCUUUCCAUAUUUCUUCUUAAUUUCUUAAUACCUGAACUCUUUAUGUGUUUUCUUUAUUUCCCUCAUUCACUUUUGUUUUCCUAGGCAGUUUUAGAGCUGUCUCUUCUCCAGCCAAGAACAUUUUCUUUCCCUUUCAUAUGCCAAACCCAGCCUCUAACAAGUUGUAUCCUGUAACCCUUCUCUAUUUCUCUCAUAGUGCUCUUCCUCACAUUUGCUAAUGUCUCCCUCUUCCUUAUGAUAGUGUUUUUUUUAAAAAAAAAAAUCAAGGGACUACCAGUAUAGCUAUCUAAUAGAGUAUAUGUGUGCCCCCUUUUGAUACAAUCACAUCUAUUGUCUAUCAGGGAAGAUCUUUGCUAUUAGUUGUUGACUUGAGUACAUGCUCUUGCCUCCAUUGCUACUACCUUAGUUUGGGGCUGAUAAUUACAGUUACCUCCCAGUUGGUCUCACUGCCUUGGCUAUCUUUCCUGGUUAUUCUACCUUCACAUCGUUAGAGGUGUCUUUGUGAUCUGGUCCCUUUCCCUUCUUAAAACAGAACAGCAAAGCUCUGGCUUUCCCUAGCCUAGAAAAUAAAGUUCUGCUUCCUUAGGUGUGCGUCAAGAGUCUUCAGACCCUGGCUCCUCCUCACUGUUCUUGACUCACCCUGUCACUUUUCACCCCAAAUUCUAAAUCCCAGUCACAUAGAACUGCUUGAGGAGGCAAUUUACUAUGUGUUGAAGUCAAGAGUGUUCUGCUACAGACCAAUGUAGUCUGCAGAAUUCUUUACUAUCUUUUAAAAAUGAAAAAGAUUUUCUGUAAAGAUCUGUCUUUCUGGCUUUAUCUCAGAAAAUAUGGCAACACUGUACUGCACACCCACCCAGAGGUGGAGGGUUACAGUGGAAUGGGGAAGCCCUGUUGGGUGAAGUGGCUCUCUCUCCAAUUUGCCAUAGUUUCUGCACUCGUGUUUGCAUCCUCAACAUUGAGGCAAAGCAUCAUUUGCCAUUUAUCACUGAUCUUGUGCUUUGUUUUUUCCCCUAGUAUUAGGAGAAAAUUGUACCACAUGUCUAUAGAUGAAUCAAAGAUGAGUCAAUACUGCUUUGUAUUUCAAGGUAUGCUAUAUGGGGCCCACUUGACACUAUCAUUGUCCUGCUCCUGCAGACAUCUGAGUUGGAUCUCUGACUGAGCAGCUUAGCACUAGGGUCUGUGUUUAAGUUCUGGCUCCAUCACUUAUUAGCUGUGUGGUUUGGGGCAAUUUACUUAAACAUUCUCUGCCUUAGUUUUCACAUCUAUAAAUCGAGGAUGAUUUCUGGAAAGCGCUCAAUACAUCUCAGCAACAUUAUUGCCACCAUUAUUAUUAUUCUACUUUCCGCAAAUCUAAUGAUAAGAAUGACAGAUCCAUGAGGGACAUGGUUUGGGGCAAGGUUUGGGGCAGGGGUCUUUUGGUGCCUAUUAAGCCACAUCUCCCUAGCUAUCAGUUUUGCCACUUACUAGCUGUGGACUGGUCAAGUUAUUUAACUUCACUAUGGCUUCGUGUUGUCAUAUUUUAAAAUGUUAGUGAUAACAAUAUCAUCAUAAUAAUAUCCACAUCUUUGGUAAUGAUGUCUUAUCUGAGAUAACCAUGUACUGAGCCAACCAUGUACUGUGUGUAAUGAAUGUCUGUCUGCCACAUAAUAAGUACAAGUGAAUGGUAGUUAUUGUCAUUGGCUGCCCUGCCUCUUGCCCAGGGGUCAUCACCCAGUAGUUGUGAGGGCCCAGGGAGCCAGGUGACCCACCUGUAUGUUUUAUGUGUUACCUAUGCAUGGGCUUUUCAAAAAUUGAGAUAUAAUUCAUAUACCAUAAAAUUCACCCUCUUAAAGCAUACAAUCCAGUGGUUUUUCAGUAUAGUCAGAAAGUUGUGCAGUCAUUACCGCUAAUUCCAGAAUGUCUUCAUCACCUCCAAAAGGAAACUCCAUACCCAUUAGCAGUUGUUCCCCAUUCCACUUCCCUCAGCCCUCUACAACCACUAAUCUAUUUUCUAUCUGUAUGGAUUUGCCUAUUCUAGACAUUCAAUAUAAAUGGUAUAAAUUGAAUCAUAUGAUACAUGGCUGGACAUGGGCUUUUUUUUUUCCUGUGUGUUUUCCUGAGGAGUAAAGCUGCACCCUUUUCCAGAAAACAGAUUUCUGCUGGGAACAUGAAGGAGGCCCUAAGUAGGAAGUUUCAAGUAGGAAGACAGCAUAGACCAUGACUGACCUAAGAGGAACAAAACCAAACAGACUUAGAUUCUAGGGGCCAAUGUGAGUAAGUUAAGAAUUUUGAGGAGCAGCAAACCAUUAAUAUAAAGAAGGAACCAAGAUAGAUUCCCUUAAAUUCUUUGCAGCCUGACCCUCAACACACUGUGAGAAUCUCAAAUGUCCACCUAUGGACUGCCUACCUUAGAUUUACCUCACAGCUGGCAAAAAAGACACAUUCUGGGCUCUUCCUCAGGCUUACUGAAUCAGAAUCCCCAGGGUGGGGGUUGAGGAACCAGGAAAGAUGGUUCUGCCAGGAAGUGGAUUUGGAAAUUGUUGAGUUACAUCGAGCAAGCUUAUAUGACACAGAUAUGGAUCUGUGUUUUGUUUCAUCCUCAACAACACUGCUCUGUAACGUGGGUUCUUUUUCAGUGUACGUGUCUGAUCUUCUUGGUAGAGUUUUUGCAACUAGGGCUUACUUUUCUUUGCCCAUCUUAGCCCCCCUGCACAGUCUUGUACAAAGUAGGGGCUCAGCACAUAUUGGGAGAUUGGUUACACAAGAGGCUUGAAGGCAUCACUUGGAUAUUGCCAGGACCAAAGCCACUAAGGUCAACAGGUCUAAGAGGAGACCUUUCUGUCCCAUUCUAAGCAUUCUUUGUUUGAGAUUUCAAGGCUGGUGUUUGUUUUCAGGGCUCUGACUUGUGACCCAGUGGUCAGGAGCCCUUUGAUGUAUGGGUUCCAGAGGAUGUCCCCAUAGCAGUCCCUUCAUAGGGACCUCUCAGCCCUCUGUGCAGUGCUGGUAGGUAGAGGGGUGACCAAGUGUAGGGGUGGUUUCUAUACCUGGAAGACCCCAUGGAGCUUGUUAACAUGUAGAUAACUGUGCCUCAACCCGGACCCACUGAAUCAAAUUGCUGUCCAGGAAGGGGAAAUUGCUACCCAGAUACUACCCAAAUACUACUCUAGAGUUUGAGGAAUAUGAUCUUCUGCCUGUGUCUGGAGCACAGUGUGUUAUGCUCAUGGGGAUUUACCUGGAUAGGGCUGUGGACUGGGUCUUGGGAGACCUGGGCUCAGUCCUGGUUCUACCCUUUAGUUAGUCUCUACAGGACACUGUGCAAGCCACUCACCUUUCACUUUGCUUCUUUGUAAAGUGAAAGAUUUGGACUAGGGUAGACACCAGCAAUGCAGACAUGAUCACUCAUAUCUGUAGGAGGCUUCUCUAUAAAUCCAGUCAUCGGUUCUAAAGGACCCAGCUCUUCUGUGUGCUCUGAGGACGGAUUUGUCUUCUAAGACUGGGGUUAGCAGCUGUUUAGUAUCAUUGGAGGCCAAGUUGCCUAAGCCCAUGUUCGGAGGUUUGAUGGUUGGUGUGGGAUGGUGGUGACAUUAAACAAGAAGCAUGGGAAGGCCCUGCUCUUUCCUUAUUCACUUGUCCCUUCCUUCUCUCUAUUUUUUUUUCAUAUUACAGUAACUAAGAGUUUUAUGUACACAAGCUCCAUUUAUAAAUUGCAGAUACCUCGUAGGAGUGUGAAAGUCACCAAUUGUUAUUUCUUUCUUUCUUUUUUUUUUUUUUUUUUGCACUGUCUUAUGGUGCUGAUAAAGUCAAAUUAACCAGUUAUUCAUACCCUAGUAUGAAAUACCCAAUUCUAGCCAUUGGAAGACUUUCUGUUUAGCUACUAUCUGUUGCAUUAAAGAAAUUAGAGUGGGUGGAUGAUGGCAUAUGGAUGCUGGGCUCCUGGUUCCUGAGGAAGGGGACAGAGGGGCCCCCCUAAGUAGGGAUGGCAGCCGAAGACAGCCAUUGAUUUGGUGGUUUUGCCAGUACUCUGAUAAUGGCGCUAUCACCAUCACUUUUGAUGUUUUUGGUAGAAAUUCCCUAAACUAGUGAUGCUUCAUUUAAACCAUCUUUGGGUGAGAUUAUUAUCAUCCUAUCUGAUUCUGUUAAAGACUCUGGGUAUCAAUCAUAUUGAUUGCCCAGGGACUGGCUAAGGCUUUGGUUACUAUGCUUCUACCUUUUCAUGGGAGCUUAACUCUCAGUUUGCCCCCAGAUAUUGUUAUUUAUUGAACUCUCACUUAGGUCGCAUAAUUGCUGUACCAUUCAGGUCAGUGCUGUGCAAUAUCGUGGGGGAAGAAGCAAUUUCUUUGCUCUUGAUUCUUUGUGCUCUCUCUCCUUUUCCCCUAGUAUAUCCCUUCCUAGCCCAUGUAUUCUACAUGCUUUAUGCAUGCAGAUUUACUUGCAUUUACUUGUAUUUAGUUGCAAUUAUAGUUUUUCCUUUUUCUUUGGUACAACAAAAUUAACGAAGGAACAGAGAAUCCUUAGGCAUAAUUUGUGUGUUUCUGUAGUCUCUGCCCCAUUGUCUGGAAAACCACAGACUUCAUUUAGAUGCCAAUGAAUCCGUCAUCAGGCUUUGAGUAAACCAUGCAUUUACCAAGAUCCUUACUUGAGCAGUGAUUUAGCUUUUUAAUCUUUUGUUUAUAAUUUUACAGUUGCUGAGACAAAGGAAAACCCACUCCCUUGGAGGAGCAUGACCUUUUCCUGUAAUUCUUCCCACUGCUGUUGUUGAGCUCCUUGGAUCCUGGCUCCUGGACACCAUCAUCAAGAAGACUUUAUGGAUGGGCUGUCCACCCACUGAGAGAAGAGGAGCAUCAGCUACAGUUUCUCUCUAGAUUGCCUUCUUCAUUUUGAGUAAUGACUGUCAGCAGGGUCAGAUUAAACACAAAACAACUGGACAAUUGCUUGGAGGACUAAACUAUAAGGGCACUAACAUGUCAAUAGUAGGCUAACACAUCCAUGGAAAAUAUAUUUACCAGCUCUUCUCUCAGGGAGGAUUCUGUGUGGGGUUGGAAGUAAUGAUUUGUUAAAUUCCUUAGGGGUAGAAAGUAGGGCAUAAUCAGAAUAUAGAGGAAUAUGCUGUUUGACUUCAGGGUUUCUGUUUUUCUUACUAGGAUAUAUAAAACAGGGACUCUAGCUAGAUUGUUUAUGACCACAGAGGGUAGGCUGAGUGCUCCCAUGAUCUUCCUGCUUGGUUCUUGCCCAUACAGAGGUCAGCCUUUCCUCUAAUAAAGAUUGAACAAGUAGUGGUCUGAGGGAGACACCAAUUCAUUACCCUACAUGUCUCUUCUCUGCACUCCAGGGCUUUGAUAAUAAAGACACUGGCAGACUAUCUAUCUUCCAUUUCUAUAAUGUGAGCCCUUAGGGAGUCUUCGUUCACUUGGGGGUGAGGGUCAUUGCUCACAGAGUAGUUCAAGUCAAAUGGAACUUGAACUCUUUGCCUAUGGGCCUGGUGGUCAGACUCUGUGUUGAGUUCAUUAGAUUAUUGGAGACACAAGGUAGAGCUGGAUGCUUCAAAAAUAUUUGGCUAAAGGAUGACAUUGCUGGUUAUUUGUAGAUAAAGCCAUGAUGGAACCUGCUUGGAAUCAUGAAAUAUGGAACUGGUGGUCAUGUUUAAAAAUACAACUAAUAGUUAAGUACCUACUGGACACUGUAGAGACUUAGGGGCUAGACAGACAUGGUUCCUGCCCCCUUGGAGCUUACACUGUAGCUUCCCCUUAGGUAUGAAGAACAGUGGCUACAACUAACAAAUGGCCACAAAGAUAUAAUUGAGCCAGUGUUCCAAUUAUUAGGGUAAUUCCUAUUUCCUUAAUCAUUCCUAUUGACCAUGUUCUAUAAGCCUGCAUUCUAUAAAUGGCGUAUGACCAUGGGCUGUUUCCCCCCAGCAAGUUGUACAAAGUUCUGUGGUACCAGGGAAAGGGCUUAAGGUUAGCAGGGCCUCUGCGGAAGGACAUAUGAAGUGACUUGGGUUAGGAAACAGGAAGGGAUAGGAUUCAAGAACAGCUAUUGCUUCUGUUCUAUAUAGGAAACUGCAGCGUGAAAAAUGCUGGGCUGGGAAUUUUGAGACCUGGGUUUUAGUUUGUGUUCUAAUACUAACAAGCUAUGUGACUGUGGGUAAGUCAUUUCACAUUCCAUUUGGAUGCCUCUUGAGUGACUCCAGGCCUCUCCAGCUCUAAAACAUUAAGAUCAGGCCCUACGCUACAGCUGGCCAGUGUGUAAUUCUUCUGUUUCUAUGCUGUUAGGUCAAAUAGAUCUUCAAUAGUUACUUGAUUGUUAUUACUUUUUUCUGAAGUGGGUGUUUUAUCAAUGUUUUAGGAUACAGUGAGUCUGCUUCUCCCCUUUGGAGUUAGGAAGGUUGUAGGAAUAUACACUGUAGAGCAUAUGGGAGCUUUAUCCCCUCCUUUUUUCCCCGCUACCUUUCUCCCUCUCCUUCCCUUCAUCACAUUUCUAUUGAGCAUAUGCCAUUGCCGUGUACCAGGUGUGUGCUAGGUUUGGAGAUACAAGGUAAACCUGAGACUUUCCCAGUCUCCAGGAGACAAAACCCUAAUUUCUUUCAUCUGCUGUCUUUCUCUUUGGAAAGAAUCAACGAUAUCCCAGGGGAAUGUGCCCAUGUCCCAGGGUAACCAACUACAGACAGAUGCCCCAUUCUACUCAAGCAACUUUUAGAGUGCCUUGAGAUACACAUCAGAUAAUUAUGCAGGGCCAGGCAUGGUGCUGCACACUUGUAAUCACAGCACUUUGGGAGGCCGAGGCAGCAGAUUGCUUGAGCCCAGGAAUUCAAGUGUAGCCUAGGGAACAUGGCAAAACCCCAGCUCUACAAAAAAAUACACAAAUUAGCUGCGUGUGGUGGCCUAUGACAGGAGGCUGAGAUGGGAGGAUUGCUUGAGCCUGUGAGGUCGAGGCUGCAGUGAGCCGAGAUCAUGCCAUUACUCCAGCCUGGGUGACAUAGGGAGACCCUGUCUUGAAAAAAAAAAAAAAAAGAUAAUUAUUCAGCCCUAGAGUCAUUGUGAAAAGAUCUAUCUUCAGAUAUAAGGAAGAAACAAUCUUUUAUUUCUUAGGAUAAAUCUGUAGAAGGACCUCCAGACAGUGAAGGCCACUGACUACUUUAUACUCUGUAAGCCAUCCCUCCCUGGUAGGAAGGACUAUUUCCAAUCUUACAGAGUACCUCUCAGCAAAUAGACGUUUUCACAUAUACUGUGAUUCAUACAUCCCUAUGGCUGGUGACCUCUUUAAAAAGGAAAGGAAAAAGCCUAAUCAAACAAAAAGAUGCUGCUAGUAAUUCUUACCCUAUUGUGAAUCCUAUAUAAGCAAAUUUGUAUCUUUGUUUUUUCCUACAUUAGCAGAUCUAUUUGAUGUAUAUCUCUGAGUGCAGAAAAUAUUUUAUGGAAAAAUCAAUAUAUGGAAUUUCAAAUUCAGAAUUGCUGAUACACACUAUUUGGUUUCACAAUUUUAUCCUAGGAAAUAGUAUUAGAGAUUUCAAUUUCUGGCUUAAAUGGUAGAAUUAAUUACUCUUAACUCUUAAUUUUACUUCUGAGUUGAGGUCAAGGAACAGGCAGACACCUGCAGUUAACGUCUAUACCUCUCCAUGGCCAAGAGUUUUAAUUUUCUCGUCUUCAAUUUUGUAGAUGUUCAUCAUUACUAAAUGGAUUGAUUAGUAUUUUAUCUCCUCUCCUUGUCCUUACUUUCCCUCUGGUAAAUAUGUUAUAAACAGUGUAAGGCUCCUAAGAUAGAGUAGCUGGUAGGACUUAGAAGAGAAACAAAGGGCACUGAUAACUCACAUAAAUGGAAAAUUGGCUCUGGAAUAACUGACAACAUAUUCAAGUAUUUUAGUGCAGUGUCACUCUCAUUAAGAAGAAGAGAAUCAGUAAAUCUAUGUGACUCUAAACAUUCUAAUGAAAAAAGGAAUAUUCUGCCAAUUAUCUCACAUUUCUAAAUAUCUGGAUAUUGGCCAUUGUAAAGACAAAACAUACAGAUGAUGGACUUGUCUUUCCACCUCUCAUUUGCAUGGUUUGGAGCAUUGUACCUCCAGCCAUAGACUCUAAGGCAAUUUAUAUUUGCUUCCUCUUCCCUCUUGAGAGAAAACGAAAAUCUUAUUUUUCCAAGCAAUUAAAACUCUUCUGCUUCAGCUAGGAUGAAAGAAUUAGGAGUUCUGUCUCCUUGUAUCUAAUUGCAUGUUUCAUCUUUCUUGUUUUAAUGAUUGACAGAAAACUAAUAAACUGAGACAUCUUUGAAUCCAGGUUGAAUGUACUCUCUUGGUGGCCCCAUUGCUAAUUUGUUUGACUAUUUUGCAGGAUUUCUUACUCUGUAAUGGAAAGGUUUAUUAAAUAUGAGGGGUGCAAAGCUUUCUGAAUACUAAUGAACUUAUUUGCCAAAAUUUAAAUGUUCUUCUUGUCAGUGAAUGUCUGUCUCUCUUAACAGGAUCCAAAUUGAAUAAUGAAGAAAAUUAGACUCUAUUGUACCCUCAGGAGAAAUCGUGGUGAAUCGUAAUAGAAUACAGAGGGGGAAAGGGGUCACAUUUUAGAAAAAAAGAGUAGAUAAUUUGGAUUAUUAAAAAAGGGAUUAACUCAGGAAAACUCUGUUCUUUUCAAAGAAACGUACUCAUAGUCAUUCAAUGAGCAGGAUUUCCCACUGCACAAGCAUCUAUACCUUUGGCCAGUGUAGAAAGAGAGUAAGGUCAUAAUCAUAUGGAGAUGCAUGCUAGGUUUCAGUAGUUACAAUUUACUAAUCUCAUUCCCAUAUAAGGCCUUUAUAUGCCUGUAAUGGAAUGGGAAAAUCAAUAAGCUUUGAAAAGGAACACUAUUCUUCAGAGAAGUUCAAUGGGAGAUAGUUGAGUUGGGGAAAUUGCCCCAGUUCUUCCUUUAAGCAUGAAAUGAGGCUGUCCCUAUGUAUGUUUACUUCCAUUGCCUUGGUGUUAUCACUGAUAAAGUCAAUGAUCAUGAUGCCUUUGCCUUGGCAGCACCUGGGGGGCACUGAAGGAACCAAGUAGCUGUACUCAUGGCCAGGAAGGCAGGCUGCCAGAACUUCAGCAGCCACACAAGUGGCCAAACAUGGUCAGGAACGAAAGUAGUGUGUGUAUGGAGUGAAAUGAAAUGAUGAGAGGAAAGUGAAGGAUGAUAUAAAGAUGGGGCUGUCCAAAGAUGGGAGUUCAUCCCUGUCCUGCACUUGAAAUAGGAAGGAAAGAACUGGAGAAGGAUUAGGUGAGGAAGGAUCCUGAAAUAGAGAAAAUAAAGGGAAGACUGCAUGCCUGCAGUGUUUGCUAAAAUUAAUUCGCCUGAGAUUUCAGGAGGAGCAAAGAAAGAUCAAGAGAAAGGGAAAACAGCCUCAAAGCCUGUGAAGGUUGAAAAACAAAAUAUAAACAAAAAAUUUUUAAAGCUAAGAUUAUGCUCUUCUAAGAAAAGAGGCUGGACACUAACAGAAAGCUUGAUGACAGCAGGAUUUGUAUUUAGCGGUUUAUUUAGAUCCCUAAGAAAAAAGGCUUAUGUGACAUAGAUUCAUAAGACACAAAUGUGUCCUUGGCUGACCAUACUAGGCUUCACUCCCAAAGGAGAAAAAGAAUGGUCGGCGCAUCUCAGAUUAACACCAACCAACUGUGCAAUAUUUCAUUUUAGAAAGCGUUUCCUUGUAUUAUCCAUGAUUAAAUAAAAAGAGACCUAGUGUAUUUGAUUGCUUCUGUGGCAAGGCUUGAGAAUUACAAACCUAGGUUUCCCUCUGGGAAUGAUCAUUGGAUUUUUAAAAUUAAGUAAGUGGAAGGAGAUUAAGAUUUAUUUCCAUCAUUUCAAAUCAUGAUCUGCACCUUUGGAAACAAAAAGGAAGUUGGAAAGUGGGAAGGUGAGGUAGGUGUGCAAGAAUGGGGAGAAAGAUGCUGCAAGCCAAAUAAGACUGUAUAAUUUCUGAGAAAAUUAAAUGAACAAUAGAGUUUGAAGGAUAAGUGGGUAAUGAGGAAUAUGAGAUAAUAAGAUAUUAAAAAAUAGCAAAUUACUUGGGAAAGUGAGGAUGAAUGAUGGUAGAUAGUUAAGGGAUUUGGGAUGGCAAGGAAGGGAAGAGAUGACUAGGGUGGGAAACAAAACAUGAUUAAUGGCUGUAAAAGGGCAAGUUUGGACUCUCGAUGGCAUAUCUUCCCAAACUUUGGAGAAUGUGCAGAACUUAGUAAUAAAGAAGGAAAAGAUUAAAAGAGUUCAUGGUUAACAUGAAAUUGUGAGGACAACAGAGGAAGCAAUAAAUGUCAUUAGUCCUCAGGAAUGAAAGCAUUUCUAGAGAAACGUACUAGUCUAUGUUCUUCAUUUAUGAGCAGAAUAGUUUUCAUCUACUUUUUAAUAAAAGGUUAAUGUAUAAAAUGAAUGCUAUUAAAGGAAAGAAAAGCUAAGCAUUAUCAGGAAAGUUGAAGAAAAGAUUGCACCUAGAACAACUGAAGUAAACCAGCAAACCUAUUUUACAGCCUUUUCUAUAAAAUUUUGAAAUUCAUCAUCUUAAUGAAAGAACUGGAAAUAGUUUUUCCAAAUAGAAAUGGGUAAUGAUAAGGGAGGAAGUUUUAACAGUUAGAAAUAUUAUAGAAUGCAUUCUUUUACAUUUUUUCCCCAUAAAAAUGAGAGGAAGCUAAAAAACUUAUGGGUAUAGCUUUAAAUACUUUGGAUAAGAAGAUUUAUAGCAAUGUAAGGUUAUUGUUAGUAGUAGAAAUAACAUUAAUUUUUUAAAAAUAUUAGUAUUUGGAGCAGGACUAAAUACCAGUGAUCAUCCUUUUUGGUUUCUUGUGUUUGUGUAGGAGAUUCCUUUCAGACAGACAGUACCAGACCUCCUUAGGAGGGAAGCUGAUAAAGUAAUUUAGGUGGAAAGGUUUAAUGAGAUAAUGAUGCUAAGGCCAGUUAACAUCUAAUAAGAACAUAAUCAUGAGGGAUGAUAUUGUUGCUUAUUAAUUAUAAUGAUGCAGAGGAAAGAGACAAGGUGGCACUCAUUUAGCAGAGAGUACUCAGGAGUAAGACCGUUAUCCCAAAGGGGAAGUGUUGCAGUCAGAGUUAGAAGUAGGUCAACAUUUAGCAGAGUUUGAAAUUUAUGGCCGUUGGGUUAUACUAGCAACCACAGAACUGAAGGCCAGGCAGGAGGUAACAGAUGCCUUUCUGAUGGUGGCCAGGGAUGGAGUGGAGACUGCUGUGGUUGCUGGGCCAUGCACGGAGGCAGACUCCAGGGUGAGUUUUGGGAGCUGUCUGCUUGCCUUAGAUUCCACAGUGGUCAUUCGUGGGCAGACAGGCAGGUGUCCAGAACUGGACUGGAUGUGCUUCCAGUUCUGUGACCUUCCCCUCCACUCCACUGGGUCGGGUGAGUCAGACCCAAGGAUAGCUAUUCAGUCAGUGUUGGCGCCCAGCUUUGUUGAGGGAGCCCAGAAGAUCCUUUGGUCCUGUUUUUAGAGGCGCAGACCUAACUGUUAUCAGUUGAAUUGCAUUUAUGAUUCCUUGGUAUUAGUCACUAACCACAUUCCGCUUCCUGAAUUCAUUGCGGGUCUGGUCACCUCCAUGUUUGCCUAGGAUGGCAGAAUUGUAGUAUAAAUUUAUUGCAGAUACACUAAUGUCCAUAUUAGUCAGGUGGGCAGGAAUAAAGAAUUCGAGGAAGAAACAGCCAUGUGAAAAAAACAUGGAGCUUUUGGAAAUCUUGUGACUCCUCAAGGGAGGCAUAGAAGCUUGAAACAGAGGACUAGCCUGGGGAAGUUAAUUUGGGGCUGGGUAAGGAAUAUAAAAACUCUACCCCUUAUUCAGCACCUUUUCCCAAUAUGGGUCUCUCUCUGAGUCCUGGAUCCUAGGCUAUUGCUGACUCCUUUCUUGGGUCUUUGGAUGCCACCUCUGCAAUGAUAGGGAGGGGUUUUCUAUACCUUCUUGUAUAGUUAAUUUUAUUAGCUGGAUGAGGAUCACUUCACAGGAUUUUUCUUGUCCUAUAUAAUGACCCCUGAAAUAGAAAGGAAAUAAUAUUCACAUCAUUAGCUUUUUAAAGCAAGUAUAUUUUAUCUUAUUAAAUGUGUGGUUUUAGAGAGGCAAGAAGUGACAAGAAGAUGCUAGACUAGAAGAUGGAAGAUUCAGCUCUAGUCCUGACUCAUGCCUAUCAGCUCUAUCACCUUGGACAAGUCUCAUGCCUUUCAGAGCCUCAGUUUCUACAUUCAUAAAAUGAGGCAUUAUUGAGGGUAAACUUUAUGAUUAAAGAGCCAUGUCCAGCUUUAAAAUUAUGUAUUUAUGCAUAUAUGUUUUUACAGAUCCUACAUCUAUUAAACUGUUAUGGGAGAAUUAAUUGAUAAACCCAUAUGAGAGCAGAUAUUUCCUUAAAUCUGUAGUUCAAAGUGGACAGUUAAGGUCAGAGUUACCAAGGAACCAAUGCCGUAACUAUUGAGUACUAACUAUGUGGCAGGUGCUUCACAGAUGAGGAAAUGAAGAUUUUCCAAAGUUUAAAUAAAUAGUUCAAGAUCAUAUAGUCAAUAAGGAGUAAAGCCAAUGCUCAAACCCAGGCAUCCCUGAAACUGAAACUCAUGACCUUCAUCACCACUGUGUGCAUCUCCCCCUUUUUUAGAACCCAAAUGCUUAUGUCCUAUCACUUAUGGCACCAGCCACCGGAAGUUUUCUUCAGUCAUUAUGGUUCUCAACUGGGAUGCGGGGAGGGAGCAAGACAAGGAGUAGUUUGAAAACUCUUCCCAGUUGAUUCUGAUACACACAUGUCUCUGCCUCUAAAUUCAGCUGCUCUCUUUAAGACAUAACUUGGCCAGAGUCAUUCUAACAUUAUUACCCGAGAGGAUCUUACUUGAGAAUUUUCUGCUAUGUGCAGGUUCAUGUUUCUGUUUUUUCCUGCAUGUCUUCAGAGCAGGUAGAGACAUUGAACACAAUUAUUCCUCUUCCAAAUGGGGAAGUGAAGCAAAGAGAAUUGAAUGAUUCAAUUUUACUCACCUACCCAGUGGUCACAGAACUGACAUCUUCCAUGCCUAAGACUAGCCGCCACAAGACAUUGUCUUUCUAGCCAAUUCAGUUAAUAAUGUAUUUUAUAUAGAAGGAAAAUUUCACUAUUGUUUUUUGUUUUGGAGUUUUCCCAGUAAAUGGAUCAUUUUAGUGACAUUAGUUUUUUUUUUUUUUUUUCCUUUGAGAUAGUCUUAGUUUGUCACCCAGGCUGGAGUGCAGUGGUGUGAUCUCCAUUCACUGCAAACUUCGCCUCCCUGGUUCAAGUGAUUCUGUUGCCUCAGCUUCCCAAAUAGCUGGGAUUACAGCUUCCUGCCACCACUCCUGGCUAAUUUUUGUAUUUUUAGUAGAGAUGGAGUUUCACCAUGUUGGCCAGACUCAAACUCCUGACCUCAAGUGAUUCGCCUACCUCGGCCUCCCAAAGUGCUGGGAUUACAGGUGUGAGCCAUCGUGCCUGGCCUCAUUUGGUCUUAAUUCACAAUUCUUUACAGUCUCAAAUGAUUUCUUUUGGUCUUUUUUUUUAAUUUUGUUUUUUUUCUUUCUUCUUGUUGAAUAAGUUCUUCAUUAUUGCUCAGUAUGGUUGCAUUGAGCUCAUUGUGAAAAAUUAGAAACAUUCAGAUACAGGAUUUAAUUAAAUAAAGACAAUAGAGUGCAGUAUUAUAUUGCCAUUUAAAAGAAUGAGGCAGCUUCAUCUAUGGAGUGGUAUCCACGAUACACAGUUAAAAUUUAAAAAGCAAAGCACAGAACAAUGUGUAUGGUGUGCUACCAUUUGUAUAAAUACAUACAUAUAUGUUUCUAUGCAUUGCCUAACUGAGGAAGGACAUUUAAGGAACUGGUAAUAGUGGUUGUCUCUGGGGAGAAACUGACUGACUCAGAAAUUGGAAGACUAUCUCUGUUGUCCCUUUUAUAUAGUGUAUCAUGUUCAUGUAUUGCCUAUUCAUUUUUUUAAUAAAGAAGAAAGUAGAGCUAUCUUUACUGAGAUGGAAAAAUACAAAAGACAUAUUUUAGGUAUAAAAAGCAAGGUGCGGAAUAGUGUAAAUAGUAUAUGAUAUUUUUGUAAUGUAAUUAUACAUACAUACAUAUAUGCAUGGAUAUACACACACAUACUUUCCGUUUUUUAUCCUAUGUAGUUCUAUAUUGUCUGAUUUUGUUUUACACAAGGCACAUAGCAAUUUAUAAUAAAUAACUCAUACAUCUCAAACCCAAAUAAUUGCACUUGAUUUCUGUACACCUAUCAAGAAAAUUCUCCAGCAUUUCUGUCUAGCUUUAUUUUGCUGUUUGCUAUAUCUCAUGGAUUCAUUUCAGAUCUCUUCUUUGACCUUUUCUCUGAAGCUUUGUGAAGUUUCUAUUCCUUUAUCUUUACUCUCAUGCAUUCACCUUUAUCAAUAGGGCCCAGCUAAGGUCAUGACCAUGGAAAUCAUGGUAAUACUACUGGUAGUUCCUCUCUCAGCCACUUCCCUUUUUAAUUAAUCAAGAAUAAUGCAACUAAAAUCUUCCUGAUUCCUACUUUACACACUUCAACUUGGUUAAAUAAAACUCCUGACCUAUUUCAGGAAGAUUUAUUUGCUUUCUGGAUGAUUCCUAUCUACAAAUAAGUUGUAUUUCCAGUCUCAAAGAACAAAAUCCAAGAGAACUUCCUCAACUCCACAUCCCCUUCACAUACCACACCAUUUCUCUGUUUUCCUUUACAGCAAUUCCCCUUGACAACGUUGACUUUACUUUUGUAAAGAUACUUUCUCCCCUCCCAUUCAUCCUUAAACCUAUUCCUCUCAGGCUUUCAGCCCUAACCGCUGUCUCUGAACUCUUGUGUUGAGGUCAUUUAUGGUACUUACUUGCUAAAUCCAGUGGCCAGUUUUCAGUCUCCAUCUUUACCUCCCAACUUGUUGGUCACAGCCAAUCACUUUCUCCUUGCAAUACUUUUUUUUGGUCUUCUGGACACUUCUCUUUCUUGGAUCUUCUUCUGCCUCACAGACUACUCCUGAGUUUCUUCUUUAUCCUCUUUCACCUUGAAAAGUGGGGACUGCUCAGUUCUCGAGCCACCUGCCUUCUUUAUUCAAACCCAUUCUCUCAGUGAGCUCAUCUAGCCUUUGGCUUUGAAUACCAUCUCCAUGCUGAUGUCUUCCAAGUUUUUUUAUGUGCAAACUCCAGCUUGUACCUAAACUAUGGACUUGGUGUCUCCUUCUUCUGUUCUUUUUUUUUUUUUUUUUUUCUGAGACAGAGUUUCGCUCUUUGUUGCCCAGGCUAGAGUGCAGUGGCAUGAUCUUGGCUCACUGCAACUUCUGCCUCCCGGGUUCAAGCAAUUCUCCUGUCUCAGCCUCCUGAGUAGCUGGGAUUACAGGCAUCUGCCUCCACGCCUGGCUAAUUUUUGUAAUUUUAGUAGAGAUGGGGUUUCACCAUGUUAGCCAGGCUGGUCUUGAACCUCAGGUGAUCUACCCCCCUCGGCCUCCAAAAGUGGACUUGGUGUCUUCUUGACACCACUAUUUAGCUUUCUAACAGGCAUCUAAACUUAACAUGUCCAAAACAAGUGGACCCACCUGCCUGCACUAACCUUUCAUAUUUGCUAAAUGACAACUUAAUUGAAGCUCUACUUUGUUCUAACUGCUUUCACUACCUCCACCACUAAAGCCCUGGUCUAAGCCUGAUUAUCACUCACCUAGAUUAGUGCAAUAGCCUCUUAUCAGCUCCCUUGCUUCCAUCUUUUCCCCCUAAAAUCUGUUCACUGAUGGCAGCCAAAGUGGUUCUUUAAAAAAUACAAAUCAGUUUAUGCCAUUGUUUUACUCAAAACCCUCCAAUGGCUCCCAUCUUACUCAGAGUGACAUCCAAAGUCUUCACCAUAGCCUUCAAGGCCUACAUGCUUCCUGUAUUCACUCUACGUCUCUCUGGUCAGCCCCCAUUCUCUCCUCCUUGCUGUUUUCAUGCCACCUUGAUUUCCUUGCUGUUUUUUGAACAUACCAGGCAUGCUCCUACCUCAGGGCCUUUAUACUUGCCAUAGGUGUGGAAUACUCUUUUCUCAAGUAUUCAUGUGGCUCAGUUCUCUCCCUUCAUUCAGCCCAAAUGUUACCUUAUCAGAAACCUUCCAUGAAUAUCCUAUCUAGAACAGCACUCACCCAUUUCACGGUACCCCUUUACCCUGCUUUAUUUUUACCAUCAUCUGACACAUUAUAUAUCUACCUAUUAGUUGUCUAUUAUAAAUAUGAACUGGAAUAUAAGACCUAUAAGAACAGAAAUUUUUUGUUUACUACAUCUUUAACAUUUAGAAGAAUGACGGUUACAAAGAAAGUGCUCAAAAAAAUGUUCCCUGAAUAUUGAAUAAAGAAUGGUGAGAAGUUCACUAAAGCUUCCUUUAGCCUAUUCAAAUUAUAUGGAAUUGCUCUUAAGACAGUUUAUUUCUCCAUCUCAAUUUUCUCAUGUCUUUUAAAAAAAUUUGUUCUAACUUUUUAUUUUGAAAUAAUAGUAGACUUACAAGUAUUUGCAAAAAGAGUAUAUAGAAGUUUCUUCUACUCUUCACCCAGCUUCCCCUAAAUGUAACAUCUUCCCUAUCCUUUCUUUUUAUUAUUUCCUGUUUCCUUUACUUCAGUUUCUUAUUUCUUCUGUAAGUCUUUCUACACAGGCUUUCAGGAACUCCUCCAUCUCUUAUUUCAUGGCCAAAUCAUUGGUGAACUUUAUUCAACACCAACAUCAAAUUUCUUCUCCAAGAUGAUGGUCCUAUCAAGGAAGGGAUAGAUACUUCAAUUAAAUAUGCUUAAUCCUAUUUUUCAUAAUAACAAAUAAAUCAAAAGAAAAGAAAGGCUGUUUCAUCUUUUAAGCUUGUUCUACCGAGAGAUACUAUCUCUUCUGUAAGUUCUGUAUAGCAGUUUGUUUGCUGUGAUUUCUACAGACAGGCAAUUUGUUGACUCUAAUGUGUAUUUUCUCUCUUAUAUUCAACUGUUUAGGAAAAGUUGAAUAAAAACAAAUAUAUGAUUUCUUUUAAAAAAAUUAUUUAUUCUGCUGAGUCUCUGUCAACACACAUUUAUUGUGUACCUACUGUGUGCCAAGCUCCAUCCUAACGAUGGUCUCUUAUUCCCCCAAGAUAAUCUGUGAUGAACAUCACCUUUAAUACAUUGUAAGUUCUGAAAGAUUGAUUGAAAACUCCUUUCUUCCAGGUAAGUAGGUUAUUCUCUAAGGAAAGGGCAUUCAUGUUCAGGUCAUAAGGGCAUGAUUAUGCUAAUAACUGAUCUCCAGGGUUAAAAAAAGAACCCAUGUCCCUUCCAAUAUGCCUGAGAUAUAAGAUAAUCUACCAUUUGACAAGAUAAAGCUCAUCAAUUUCAUCAUCAGUAAAAAGAGGGCAUAACUGGGAUGUCACUAACUGCUACUGUUAAAAUGAGCAUGUAUUAAAAUCCUUAUGGAUGUCCCCUUCAUAUUCAACAUUAAUUAGAAACCUGCCCUAUCUCAGUGUUCUUCUAUAAUCAAUCCCCCUUUCCAGUAUUACUAAGGUAACUGUAAGCCCUGCAUGCCUGAACUGUCCUGGUUUACACCUGUUUUUCCAGCAUAAUUGUUAAUUGCAACCCUGUUCACUGUCUGAUGAAUCUUGGUUUGGACGAUAAAUUAUAUGGUCAACCUAAGUAUUAGAGUCCCUGGGAUAAACAAUCAAGGUGUCAUUCUUAUUUAUUGGUAUUGGUUUGUCACAAGCUGUGAAAACAGUUUUUCUUUUGCUUGUUUCUUCCUGAGUUGUCACGAAGACCUUCACAUAAAAUCACUCUCUCCCAUUAAAGUAAUUAUUGAAGCCCCCUUCAGUAAUGACCAGUUGUUUUAGUUUUCCUCCUCAGAUUCCAAAGACCAAAUGUAGAGAUUAUUUUUACUGGGUCAGGAUCAAAAUUGUUCAGAGGCACUAGCCUUGUAUAGGGAGAAUUUCAUCUAUCUAAUCCACAAGAAUCUUGAAGAGACAUUUUUUCCUUGGUAACAUUAUCUCGAAGAAAGAGUCUGUGAUUGACUACUAAUUUUAGCCCAGAGGAUAGAAAACUCAAAUGUACUCAAUUUCAAUGUAACAUAUGUAUUUGUGGCCUAAGAUACUUAAUGUCUCUAAAGUUGCUACAAGGGAAUGAGUAAUUGAAAGGUGAGUUUGGGUGGCCUUCUUAGACAUAAUCUCUGUUAAAACUAUUUAAUCUGUAUGGUUCACAAGAAAGGUUUUCUUGAGUUGAUGAGUAGAAUGAUAUUUCUGAUAAGAUAUUUCUACAACUAUAUUCUUGGCUGAUGGUAGUAGCAGCACCACCAUUUUUUCAUUAUUUAAUUUUGGAAAAUUGACCACUAUUUUUUUCAUCUAAGGCUGUGUCCUUAUUGUACUGAAGCACCCAAUCAACUCGAUGUAAAAAAAGAAAGUCUUUUAAAUAAUGUGGAAUUAUGAAGACAAAACAACUAGUGAGGAAACUAAAUUGUUUUUAUCUAAUUAUUUUGUAACUCAUCUGUGAACUAUAGAUAAUUCUGCUGGUUUUUGCAUUCCUGAAACAGUUGCUGUGAGAAUAAAUAAUAUACUUAGUAAAACAUUAUGAAUGUUUGAGAUAAUAGAUGCAUAAUGACUUCAUCCUUGUUUGUAGCUUGCUUGAAAAAUUAAAUUGAAUGAAACAGAGU